This is a long non-coding RNA of Gallus gallus (chicken), 1118 nucleotides long. Lineage: Eukaryota; Metazoa; Chordata; Aves; Galliformes; Phasianidae. The record is from Ensembl.
GGAGGGAGUGGAAAGUCAUCCACUUCUAAUUGGUUUCCACUCUUGAGCAAGAGAGAAUGGGAAAUGCCAGUCUACCCCACGUGGUUAAUUCUGCAACCUGACUAGCAAUUGCUUCAUACUAAACGGGAACAAGUUUUCUUUAAUUAACAUUAAUUUCCAUUGGGAUGCCGCCACAGAGAGCUCAUUCCAGAUCCCUCAUCUCUGUGCAGAGGACCAGGAACCACAUCUGUGCUGUUCUGUGGGACUAAAGAGCCCUUGCACUUUGCAUAGGGCUCGCACACCCCUUCUUGAGGAGGCUGGCACGGGAGUUAAGGGCUGCACCAAUCAGUUCUUCACUGAACUUUAGGCUCCCGGCUGUUCCAAGUCUUUCUGACAACUUGGCAGCACCCUCUAAAACCUUCCCAGGCUGCCAGACCCUUCUCUUUGGAUCCGAUUCGGUGCUUUGAGUGCCCUCGCACACUGUCCGUGUAGAUGUGGAGGAAUACAGCUGUGUCAGGUGAAAUUUAGCAGGCUAAAACGGCAUUUGGACGCUCGAUGGAAAUAUUUCCCUUUGAAUCAUCGCAAAGCAAGAGCAGGAAGAAAUAUCACAAAAUGAAAGAAGAGUGAAGAUGAAAUCUCCGACUUGAAAAAAUACUUCCACAAAGCAGCUUGAAUAUUUCCAAGGCAAAUGCAAAGCUCUGGGUCAUCUUACAGCCCAGAGGAUGAAGUAGGAAGGAUUGUGCUGCAAGUAUAAAUUCCCCUAAGUGAGCUGCACAGAAGACUGCCACAUCUUCAUUUGCAGGGGUCUGCUGUUUGCCUGCUUCUAAGGAGCCAGAAGCUCACCUUGAACCACAGUUCUUGCAGUAAAUGAUUCUGUAGCUGCCUUGGCCUGAGAUCAACUGGCAGAGAAACCCAGCUUUGACACCCUUCAUUGAUAUGGACUGAUCCUUAUGUUGUCUGAGUUUGAAUCAAUGUUGGACAUUCCCCUAAACUGGAAAAAGAAUAGACAAAAGGCACAUUAUUUUGUCCAAAUUAACAGGCUUUUCUUUUGCUUCUAAAAUCGAUUGCACAUCCCUGUCACAGUGCUGUCAUUUCAUAUGAAGAAUGUAGCUGAAAUACUUGAUUUGCUACAGUCAAAG